Molecule: ribosomal RNA, 989 nt
Filed under: Paraburkholderia sediminicola
Lineage: Bacteria; Pseudomonadati; Pseudomonadota; Betaproteobacteria; Burkholderiales; Burkholderiaceae
Description: bacterial SSU rRNA
Rfam family: Bacterial small subunit ribosomal RNA
Source: RNAcentral
AGUCGAACGGCAGCACGGGGGCAACCCUGGUGGCGAGUGGCGAACGGGUGAGUAAUACAUCGGAACGUGUCCUGUAGUGGGGGAUAGCCCGGCGAAAGCCGGAUUAAUACCGCAUACGCUCUGCGGAGGAAAGCGGGGGAUCCUUCGGGACCUCGCGCUACAGGGGCGGCCGAUGGCAGAUUAGCUAGUUGGUGGGGUAAAGGCCUACCAAGGCGACGAUCUGUAGCUGGUCUGAGAGGACGACCAGCCACACUGGGACUGAGACACGGCCCAGACUCCUACGGGAGGCAGCAGUGGGGAAUUUUGGACAAUGGGCGAAAGCCUGAUCCAGCAAUGCCGCGUGUGUGAAGAAGGCCUUCGGGUUGUAAAGCACUUUUGUCCGGAAAGAAAACCUCCGAGUUAAUACCUUGGGGGGAUGACGGUACCGGAAGAAUAAGCACCGGCUAACUACGUGCCAGCAGCCGCGGUAAUACGUAGGGUGCAAGCGUUAAUCGGAAUUACUGGGCGUAAAGCGUGCGCAGGCGGUCCGCUAAGACAGAUGUGAAAUCCCCGGGCUUAACCUGGGAACUGCAUUUGUGACUGGCGGGCUAGAGUAUGGCAGAGGGGGGUAGAAUUCCACGUGUAGCAGUGAAAUGCGUAGAGAUGUGGAGGAAUACCGAUGGCGAAGGCAGCCCCCUGGGCCAAUACUGACGCUCAUGCACGAAAGCGUGGGGAGCAAACAGGAUUAGAUACCCUGGUAGUCCACGCCCUAAACGAUGUCAACUAGUUGUCGGGUCUUCAUUGACUUGGUAACGUAGCUAACGCGUGAAGUUGACCGCCUGGGGAGUACGGUCGCAAGAUUAAAACUCAAAGGAAUUGACGGGGACCCGCACAAGCGGUGGAUGAUGUGGAUUAAUUCGAUGCAACGCGAAAAACCUUACCUACCCUUGACAUGUAUGGAAUCUGGCUGAGAGGUCAGAGUGCCCGAAAGGGAGCCAUAACACAGGUGC